UUGCUACAGGUGGAGCGCGAUCGCGUAAAGCAGAGGAGAGCGAUCUUCUUCCGAUUUCCAUCGCCGGCGAUCUUUUGAGGUCAAGGGCACUUCCCUUCCUUCGGUCAUCAUCCUCUCUACCGUCGGCGACGCCACUUCAUCCCUCUGAUCCAGAUCUGGAAGCUAAUUCUGCUGCGAUUCUUGAGCGAAGAAGAAGAGGCUGUGAAGUGGAGUGAUCUGGAGGUUUGAUCCUGAUUCCCUCUCCUUCCAGCCGACGAUCGUCUUCCUUGAAGAUCUGAAUGCAUCCAAUUGGGGAUUACACAUUGGAAGGAAAACUCCCAGAAUCACCUGUAGAUGUGGAUGAUAAGAGUGUAGGGACUUGUGCUAUGGAGGCAAGGACCCAAGAAUCACUACAUGUGGUUGUACAUUCACCUGAGCCAAAACCAGAACCUGAGCUAUUAUUUGAUGAUGAUGAUGUCACAGUCAUCAUUCCAGAACCUCCAAGUACCUUUCAACAUGAUAAGGGAUGCCUACCUUCCAUCUUUAUAGGCUAUCGGAGUGGAUGCUUAAAUUAAACCGCAUUCAACCGUCGGGGAAAAUUUUCAAAGAGCAUAUGGUCGAAGGAGUGGUUUUAACUUCAAAGCAUAACAUUCCACUCCCUAGGUGGAUUUUACUUCUUAACCGACUCCAACCACCGUGAAAGACCAUUUCAUUACCGGUGUAGAUGCUACUUCUAAAUCAUUUGCAACUGCUUAGAAUAAAGGGGAGUUCGUUCCUUGCUUUUAUUUUUGCUCUAUACUUUUCUUUAGUUUCUUACUUUACAUUUGCAUUUUGCUUCCAUACUUUGUACUUUGUUUAGUAUACAUAGCAUCUCAUUUUGAAUAAAAUUCUCCAUGAAAUUGUUCUAGUAAUACUUUUAAAUGGUAAAAGUUCUUUAAGUUUGACCAUCAAUUUUAGGUCAUCUUACAUGAUUGAAGUCUCUACUUGCAUGAUAUUGGUUAGUGUGAUUAAUUGAGUUUGAUUGCAAAAAUUACCUAGAGAGGACUACUACAUGUCUAUCCUUUAUGUCUAUUUUUGUAUGAUAUGCACUCGCAACAAUUGAACUUUCGAAUUUGCUUUACCUUUUUUUUUUCAAAAUCACAAUAGCAUAUGUAUGCAUGAAAAUGAAGGAUAUUUUUCAUUCUUAUUCCCUCAUAAUUUCUAAUUUCUAAUUUCUAAUUUUUAAUUUCUAAUUUCCCCAUAAUUUUCUUAAAAUAUUUUCAUCUAGCAUUUUAACCUUUGAUCAUCUUUGCUUAUCAAUCUUUUAUUGAGAGUGUGGAUAAUAUUCUUGAUGAGUUAGAUUACCAAGAUGGACAAAGUUUUAAGUGUGGGGGUGAAUUGCAUAUGUUUGAGGUCAUGGAUUACAAAUGGAUUGGAAUUCUGAAAUUGUGGAAUCCAUCUUGGUUGAUUUUUUUUUUUUUUAAAAAAAGAAAUCCAGGAAGUUGUUUUUCUGUACAAAGAAAUCAAGUUGUGUCAAUUGCAGUUUAUGUACAAGAAUUUCAGAAUUCAGAGGUGUCCAGAAUACUAACAGACCAUGAAGGAGGAAUUGUAAAUCAUUUAAGCAUGGAUUGAAACCUUUUCUGGGAAAGGUAUAAGCUGGAAAGGAAAUUCAGGUUACUGCUAAAAAUUGAAAUUGAUUUUUGAAUUGCUGAACUUGGAAGUUUAUGCUAUGUGCUUCAUGGAUGUUCAGAAUUGCUCCAAGUUUGAAGGUUCAGCAUGAAAAUGAUUACUGAUUUUGUUGAUAAGAAAGCUUUGAAAUGUUAGUGUGAGUGCCGACAUUAGUGAUGACCUUCCUUCCAAUGAAGUAUAUGAGAUAGACAAUGGAAUCAUUAGCUAUCUAGAAUCUUAAAUGUAGAGAGUUGCAUUACAUAAAACAAAAGAAGAUAAAAAUUUGAAGGAGCUAUUGUGUGCCAAGAUUAACUAGAAUUUCUGAUUAGUGACAAUUUCAAGAGCAUAAUUUCUGAAUCUUGAUGACAAUAUAAGUUGGGAGAAUGAUUAAUUAUUUUUAGAAUGCCAAGUCAAUUUCAGGAAUCUAAAUUCUGUCAAGAAAAAAAAUAACAGUAUUGUGAAUUGCAAUUCAGUUUUUCACAAUUGUUGAACUCUAUUGUAACCUUUAAGAACAUUUCAAGAAACAAGUGAUGAGUAUUUUCUGUUGGAUAGAAAGAAAAGGAGGAAGGAAUUCGAUAAGAAGUAAACUGAUCAGAAGUGGAGAACAAUGCAUUAAUGGGAACCUAUUUAUGUGUGCUUAAGUUCCAAUCAAUUUAGUGCCAAAUGAAGUCUUAUCCUAAACUUACCCUAUAUGAUUCAAGCUUAAGUUCUUUCGAGUUCAGAUUCUGUAACUAAAGUGCUGGAAUGCAGAAAUUAGAGUGUUUAAAAAGAUAUGUAGGGAUUAGUUUUUUUUUUUCAUCUAAACAGCUUGUGCAAGCUUCCAAUCAGUAAAAUAACAAGAGGAGUACCUGAUUUUUCAUUACCAUUGAGUGUAAAAGAUCAAUUCUUCCAUGAUUCAAAGCAUGCAACUACAAUGGAAGAGUUUCUUGAAAUUGUCCAGCUCCACUGCAGUGCAAGGAAUCAACAAGUUGGCAUGAUUGUUGCUGCUGAGGGAAGCUUCCCAAUGUUAAUAUGAGGCCCAAUGAAGAACACUUGAUCAGCAAGGGGACCAGUAGCUUUAUUUCUGGAAGAAAUGCUAAGAACUGAAUUACAAAGAGGCAGAAUUCAGAGAAGAGAAAAAAAACUGUAACCUUGUUUUUGUGCCAAAUCUUCAAGCUAUCUCUAACCAGAAACAAAGUGAAUCUCUACUCAUAUCAAGUUAGUGUUAAAUGAUGCCUUAUUCCCAACUAAAUUCUCUAUGGUUAAAUUGAUGAGACACUAAAAUUCUAUUUCUGAAAUUUUGAAAUCUAAAUUGUAGAAGUUUGUUGCAAGUUCUGGAAAUUAUUCUUUGAAUUGAUUUUGAGUAUCACAAUUCCUAAGCUUUCAUGAAGCAAAUGUUCUUGUGUGAUCUUUGUACGAAUUCAAAAGGAAGGUUGUGAACUGUAGCUUGGUAGUCUUGAAACUAACUUCAAAUCUGGAUUCAGAGAACUAAAAUAAUUGGAUUCAUUGCUUAUGUGGAAUUGGUUGUGGUUGAGGUCUGAACUAGAGUGGAUAUGAGUUGUUGGAUAGUUGAACUGAUCUCAUGGUUUUCCCAUUAUUAUGCAAGAGAAAUUCUUGAAGAGAUAAAUGGAGGAAGAGAAAUGUAAAGAGCAAAAUUCAAUAAAUGAAGCUAUGAAGUUGUGGAAUGAAUGUAUUGAUCUUAGUUUGUUGUGCCAAUCUCGUGCUGCAAAUUCCUGACUAGUUAAACACUAAGAUGAAGCUCUUAGUUACCCAUUUUCAAAUGGUAAUAUCUCUUUUACAAGACCCUGAACUGCAAGAGUUCCAAGUCAAGAAUUAAAAUCUAGCUCCACAUUUCAGAAAACCAGCCUCACUUCUGAUAGCUUCUCCAAGUUAUGAAAUCUGAUAUUCAAAUGAAAAAGUUGCUGGUCUGUGAUAUUUUCUUCUAGUUUCAAAGUGACUCCUAAAUCUAGACUUUAACUCAGGGAUUGCAUAUAUGAAUUCCAUCUUAGAGAGCUCCCUAAAUUCAGCAAGAAUCAGAAAACAGAGGAAAUGGAAAUGAGUUUUUGAAACUGAAUUCUAAUUCCUAAGGUUGUUUGCAAAAGUUGAAUACUAAUUGAAUUGUUAGAACCUAUUCUUUCUUCUUGUUGCUACUAACUGAGGAUGCUUUAAAUGAAAGCUCUAUACAAUAGAGGUUGAAAGUGUACAGAAUUUCAAGGUUCUGAAAAUGUUGGUUCUAAUUCAUUGAUUUCAAUGAAAUUCACAUUAUGGGCUUACUGAUUUGGCUAUAGUUAGUUGGAUCAAGUGGUUGUUGAACAGAACAAGAACCUAAAAUUGAAUCUGAUUUCUAAAAUUCUGCGCUUGUCUUGUGGAUUCCUCCAAUAAAUUUUGGGAUGUUAACAGGAAUUGUAGAAGUGCUGGAAUUUUGCAGAAUUGCAUAAAUGAAACCACCAAGUGCAUGUUUAGUGCCAAACCUCUAUGUUGUUUUUGAUUAGUAACAUCGUGAAUUCAGUCUCUUUUCAUUCUGGGAAAGAACUUGAUAUUUGUUGUGGUUGAGACGUGUUAGGGGGAAGUGUGAAAAAAAAACAGUGGCAAAUAAAGAGAGUAUCAAGUGUGGAGAGAGUAUCAAGUAAUUAGAUAGUAUGAUAUGUUGCAUUGUCCGAGACAGACAAUAUUUUAAGUGUUUGGGGGGGGGGGGGGGGGGGCUCUUCUUCAUAAGGUGAUGCGAGAUUAUUUGAGUUUCCAAAUUCUGAAAUUGAAGUGUGAAAAAAAAAGUAGCAAUGAAGAGUAUCAAAUAGAGAGGAUAGUGUGCCAAGAUUCUAUGGCAGUGAUCAAAUUGAAAAAGAGAUUGGUUUGAUCUUUUGUUUUGGCAUCGACAAAUGGUGUUCUUUAUUCCCUAUUAUAAAUUCUUUGAUACAUCUCAAAUUGGUCAACUCAUCAAGUGUAUUCCUCCAAUACUCUCAUUUCUGCAUUGAUUCCCUUUCUUUUGCCAUUUUGUUCACUUCACUUAAUUCUUUUUAUUUCCAUUGCAAUUCAUAAUAAAUCAUUUUGAUUCAUGUAUGCUAUGUUUUAUAUUAGUGGAGAAGUAGAAAAUGAGCAAGCUUAUGGUAGUGAAAUGUUAUGAGUGACAUUGAGUUGAGUCCCAUUUAUAUACAUGUUUGAGUGUGAGAGUUAGAAUAGGUGAAUACCUUGUGAGAUUGCAUGUUGCUUAGUUUUUCAAUUGAAUUGAAAUCACCAUACCUACUGAUUAUUGUUUGGAUUGAAUUCAUGAUUGGUUAUGAUCUUUAGAUGAUCUUAGUUAAAUUCUUUUUACCAUCUUCUAGGUAUUGCUAGGAAAAUAUUAGGAAGAUGGUUUCUAGUUUGUUUUCUUCUAUUUAGUUUGCUCAUUCGGGACGAACAAGAAUAAGUGUGGGGAUUUGAUAACCAUGAUUUUACUACAAUAUUUUGAUUCAUAAAUGCAUUCUUUUAUGAUCUUCUCAUAAGCUAAACUUAUACUUACAUCACAUUUAAUGAAUUACAUUUAUUCUUAGACUUAAUUAUCAACUAUCUCAUUAUUAUGAUAUUUGAUACUAAUAUUCAAAUAUGAUCUUUGUAGGAUCAAAGGGGUAUUGGCUUGAUCAGAUCAAACUAAAUUUGGGCUCAAAUCUAAGACUAAACAAGGAGAUUAAGCUUUGGAGCCAUCUAAAUUGUCUAUCAAGAUUAAGAGAGAUCUGAGCCAUCCGUCAAGGAUUUGGUCCAUCCAACCCAAGGGGAAGUAGAUUACAGCCAUCGAUUAAGAUCUAGAGCUUCUGAUCCAGAUAUGAAUUGAUUCGACCAUUGAUCAAGAUCCAAAGCAUUUUGGACCGUCCAUUCAGAUCUGAGAUGAGUUCAAAUGAGAAGCUAUAGUAGGGUUCUUCAUUUGUCAAUUUGCUACAGGUGGAGCGUGAUCGUGUAAAGCAGAGGAGAGUGAUCUUCUUUUGAUUUCCAUCGCCGACGAUCUUCUGAGGUCAAGGGCACUUCCCUUCCUUCGGUCAUCAUCCUCUCUACCGUCGGCGACACCACUUCAUCCCUCUGAUCCAGAUCUGGAAGCCAAUUCUGCUGCGAUUCUUGAGCGAAGAAGAAGAGGAUGUGAAGUGGAGUGAUCUGGAGGUUUGAUCCUGAUUCCCUCUCCUUCCAGCCGACGAUCGUCUUCCUUGAAGAUCUGAAUGCAUCCAAUUGGUUAGGAGUGUUUGCUUCUACUUCCAUUGGUUUUCACGGUUACUGCAUCAAUUUCUUGUUCUUGCUGUGUCAAUGGAUAAGAAUCGAUCAUCUGGAGAUCCAGACAUCUUCGUCCAAUUCAGUGAGUGUUUAGGGCUAUCCUAGCUCACUUGGGUUUAUCUCCUUCCCUAGAUCACAAUUUUGUUUUUAUUCUUUCUAAUUUACAGCUGAGAAUAUCUGUUCUUGUUGCUAUUCAGUUUCAUAAAUCUGAAUUAGUUUUAGUUAGUUUCAA
Long non-coding RNA from Zingiber officinale, 6070 nucleotides. RefSeq lists it as uncharacterized. The transcript has 3 exons. NCBI's taxonomy places the organism in Eukaryota, Viridiplantae, Streptophyta, Magnoliopsida, Zingiberales, Zingiberaceae. The record is from RefSeq and is a predicted model, not a curated record.